CAGGGCAGGUCUAUGUGUGUAUCAGGGCAGGUCUAUGUGUGUAUCAGGGCAGGUCUAUGUGUGUAUGAGGGCAGGUCUAUGUGUGUAUCAGGGCAGGUCUAUGUGUGUAUGAGGGCAGGUCUAUGUGUGUAUGAGGGCAGGUCUAUGUGUGUAUCAGGGCAGGUCUAUGUGUGUAUCAGGGCAGGUCUAUGUGUGUAUCAGGGCAGGUCUAUGUGUGUAUGAGGGCAGGUCUAUGUGUGUAUCAGGGCAGGUCUAUGUGUAUGAGGGCAGGUCUAUGUGUGUAUCAGGGCAGGUCUAUGUGUGUAUCAGGGCAGGUCUAUGUGUGUAUCAGGGCAGGCCUAUGUGCUUCCUGCUACUACCAGCUGCUGGCCCAGUUGCUGUUGUCACAGCUGGACCCAGUCAGAGUCUAAUAGAGCUAAUACAACAUAUUAAAGAUGGCCGCCUCUAGUCCACAUGACAGGUC
Molecule: long non-coding RNA, 463 nt
Organism: Oncorhynchus tshawytscha (Chinook salmon)
Lineage: Eukaryota; Metazoa; Chordata; Actinopteri; Salmoniformes; Salmonidae
Source: Ensembl